GACGAACGCUGGCGGCGUGCUUAGCACAUGCAAGUCGAACGGAAAGGCCCUGCUUUUGUGGGGUGCUCGAGUGGCGAACGGGUGAGUAACACGUGAGUAACCUGCCCUUGACUUUGGGAUAUCUUCAGGAAACUGGGGCUAAUACCGGGUAGGAGCUCCUGCUGCAUGUGGGGGGUUGGAAAGUUUCGGCGGUUGGGGCUGGACUCGCGGCUUAUCAGCUUGUUGGUGGGGUAGUGGCUUACCAAGGCUUUGACGGGUAGCCGGCCUGGGAGGGUGACCGGCCACAUUGGGACUGAGAGACGGCCCAGACUCCUACGGGAGGCAGCAGUGGGGAAUAUUGCACAAUGGGCGGAAGCCUGAUGCAGCAGCGCCGCGUGCGGGAUGACGGCCUUCGGGUUGUAAACCGCUUUCGCCUGUGACGAAGCGUGAGUGACGGUAAUGGGUAAAGAAGCACCGGCUAACUACGUG
This 468-nucleotide ribosomal RNA is filed under the name uncultured bacterium. RNAcentral's name for it is "partial 16S ribosomal RNA". It matches the Rfam family "Bacterial small subunit ribosomal RNA", at positions 28 to 507 of the family's 1533-position model. The record is from RNAcentral.